CUUUUAUCAUUGUAUUUUCACCCCCUGAACUUUAUUUGUCCGUGUUUGAUACAGUUUCUUCAAAAUAUCCAUUUUUUCUGGAAGGAUGUCAGUAAAUUUUGCAUAGCAACCAUUAGCGAAGUUUUUUUUUUUUUGGUUGCUAUGGGCUUUCUAUCCCCAAACUGCAUAUUUUUUGCCCAUAACCCCUCGGAUACACUAUAGACAUCCCCCCCCUAUUUCUGUGACUGGAAUGAAGCCUGAUCGCAGGCCUAAACACUGAAUUUUGCCUGUCUUUUUACGCUGUGCCUGUAUUGCAAAGAUCAACAACUGCGAAGUGAAAUUUUGUAUACGACAAUCUCUUUCAAUCUAGUUAUAUUUGAAGCGUUUUAAAGUUAUUUUUUAACUUGAAAAUGGCGAGGGAAGAUAGGAGAAAGAGUAGAUCGGCAAAGAAAAGAAAAAGGAGAGGAUUUUUUGGCCAUAGACCGCAGGAGAAAGCUGGCGAGUUUAGGAAUUGUGCUGUGACUAUGGACGCGAAUGUCCGCAGUUUGUCUGUUGUUAGCGACGUCCCAGUGUCUAAUUUAUCAGCCGAUCACGAGAGUAUUUCAUCUAAGAAACUGCUGAACAGUUCCUUCGAGAAAUUCGAGAGUAGAAGAGGAAUUUUGACCCGAAAACAUGCGAAAGAUAU
Molecule: non-coding RNA, 664 nt
Organism: Paramuricea clavata
Lineage: Eukaryota; Metazoa; Cnidaria; Anthozoa; Malacalcyonacea; Plexauridae
Source: the annotation of a GenBank genome assembly